Molecule: long non-coding RNA, 298 nt
Filed under: Hordeum vulgare
Lineage: Eukaryota; Viridiplantae; Streptophyta; Magnoliopsida; Poales; Poaceae
Description: long non-coding RNA (HVUL_LNC017054)
Source: RNAcentral
AAGAUGAGAAGACUGUGGAGGAACAUAGGAUGGUGGUGCUCCAUUCUGUGAAGCCGGUUGCAUAAAAAAGUUUGAUGGGCCCGAUGGAAGAUUGGGAGCUGCAGCUUGAGGUGCCUGUGGAGGAGCGAAUGAUGGCGCAGCAGCCUGAGGAAAGGAUGAUGGGUUCAGGGCUGCAGGAUAUGCUUGUGGCUGAGAAUACAUGAGAGCAGCAUGAGUAUUGGGUGCCACUGCUUGAGGAGGAGCGUGAGUAACAGGCUGAGAUGCCUGGGAGGGAACAUAAGCCGAGGGUGCCUGUUGG